This is a long non-coding RNA of Pelmatolapia mariae (spotted tilapia), 278 nucleotides long. RefSeq lists it as uncharacterized. The record is from RefSeq and is a predicted model, not a curated record. The transcript has 3 exons. NCBI's taxonomy places the organism in Eukaryota, Metazoa, Chordata, Actinopteri, Cichliformes, Cichlidae.
CACAGGUGACCAAGUCAGACACAGGACGAUACAUCUGUGGUUAUGGAAACCCUCUGUCUCCUGAUUCAUUUGUCGGUGAUUAUCUUCUUGUCAUUGAUGAGAAAAUGACACAAACAUGGAGGCCAUCAGAGAAGACACCGGAACUCAGUAGUUACUUCACAAUCCUUUAUUCACCUUCAACCAUUUAUUCACCUUCUAGAAGAGGAGAUGUGCAUGGCCCGGCUGUCUGCAAAAUCUCAACCCUUUGUCUGUUACACACAGUUUCAUAGAAGUGACCC